UACGUAGGUGGCGAGCGUUGUUCGGAUUUAUUGGGCGUAAAGGGUCUGUAGGAGGUUUGUUAAAUACGGGGUGAAAUCCCGAAGCUCAACUUCGGAAUUGCCUUGUAGACUGACGAACUGGAGUACCGGAGAGGUAAGCGGAAUACCAGGUGUAGCGGUGAAAUGCGUAGAUAUCUGGUAGAACACCAAAAGCGAAGGCAGCUUGCUGGACGGAAACUGACUCUGAAAGACGAAAGCAUGGGGAGCAAACAGG
RNAcentral lists this ribosomal RNA (253 nucleotides) under uncultured prokaryote. RNAcentral's name for it is "partial 16S ribosomal RNA". It matches the Rfam family "Bacterial small subunit ribosomal RNA", at positions 524 to 776 of the family's 1533-position model. The record is from RNAcentral.